Molecule: ribosomal RNA, 352 nt
Filed under: uncultured bacterium
Lineage: Bacteria
Description: bacterial SSU rRNA
Rfam family: Bacterial small subunit ribosomal RNA
Source: RNAcentral
GUAGGGGGCAAGCGUUAUCCGGAAUUACUGGGUGUAAAGGGAGCGUAGGCGGCAUGGUAAGCCAGAUGUGAAAGCCUUGGGCUUAACCCGAGGAUUGCAUUUGGAACUAUCAAGCUAGAGUACAGGAGAGGAAAGCGGAAUUCCUAGUGUAGCGGUGAAAUGCGUAGAUAUUAGGAAGAACACCAGUGGCGAAGGCGGCUUUCUGGACUGAAACUGACGCUGAGGCACGAAAGCGUGGGGAGCAAACAGGAUUAGAUACCCUGGUAGUCCACGCCGUAAACGAUGAGUGCUAGGUGUCGGGGAGGAAUCCUCGGUGCCGCAGCUAACGCAAUAAGCACUCCACCUGGGGAGU